AGUGAACGCUGGCGGCAGGCCUAACACAUGCAAGUCGAGCGGCAGCGCGUCCGACCACCCUCGGGUGGUCGGAUGGCGGCGAGCGGCGGACGGGUGAGGAAUGCAUCGGAAUCUGCCUCGUUGUGGGGGAUAACGUAGGGAAACUUACGCUAAUACCGCAUACGACCUACGGGUGAAAGUGGGGGACCUUCGGGCCUCACGCGAUGAGAUGAGCCGAUGCCGGAUUAGCUAGUUGGCGGGGUAAAGGCCCACCAAGCCAACGAUCUGUAGCUGGUCUGAGAGGACGACCAGCCACACUGGGACUGAGACACGGCCCAGACUCCUACGGGAGGCAGCAGUGGGGAAUUUUGGACAAUGGGCGCAAGCCUGAUCCAGCCAUGCCGCGUGC
RNAcentral lists this ribosomal RNA (388 nucleotides) under uncultured bacterium. RNAcentral describes it as "bacterial SSU rRNA". It matches the Rfam family "Bacterial small subunit ribosomal RNA", at positions 28 to 404 of the family's 1533-position model. The record is from RNAcentral.